AAGACACAGAACCCGACGCAAGAGCAUGGGACCCGACUUACCAUCGUUUCCCCGACACUGCGCCGGAUGACAUUGGACUAAAUGCAUCUAUGGAAGCCCGACUACCGAACCUUUACCAGGUUCGGUCGGUUCCCGACUCAACAGACGUGCCCGACUAACGGCUUCGACUAUUGGAAGCCGACCUAAAGUCGGAACGCACU
Molecule: long non-coding RNA, 200 nt
Filed under: Elaeis guineensis (African oil palm)
Lineage: Eukaryota; Viridiplantae; Streptophyta; Magnoliopsida; Arecales; Arecaceae
Description: long non-coding RNA (EGUI_LNC000890)
Source: RNAcentral